This 192-nucleotide small nucleolar RNA is filed under the name Trichophyton rubrum BMU01672. Its description in RNAcentral is "CD-box snoRNA". The record is from RNAcentral. Lineage: Eukaryota; Fungi; Ascomycota; Eurotiomycetes; Onygenales; Arthrodermataceae.
UGGACGUCGGUGACGAAGGUGGUAGCACCGAGCAGGUGAACGGUCUCGGGGACGUUCUCCGGCUUGGCGAUACACUUGAUGAGCUCGGGGAUGAAGCGCUCGAUGUCCUUGUUGGAGAUGAGGGCGCAGACCUUCUCCAUGGUGGCGUAGGCGGCCUUCUUGACCUCGGGCUUGGUGUCCCACAUGGACUCU